UAGUGUUCCAGCUCUUUUAGAAUUUUUCUAGGAGUUUUCACCAGAAAACCCA
Molecule: small nuclear RNA, 52 nt
Filed under: Carlito syrichta (Philippine tarsier)
Lineage: Eukaryota; Metazoa; Chordata; Mammalia; Primates; Tarsiidae
Description: U7 small nuclear RNA (ENSTSYG00000031107.1)
Rfam family: U7 small nuclear RNA
About the family: Animal histone pre-mRNAs are spliced by a different mechanism than nuclear pre-mRNAs and self-splicing introns. This processing involves the U7 snRNP, which contains only one RNA species: U7.
Source: Rfam by way of RNAcentral